GGAAGUGUGGCCGAGUGGUUGAAGGCACUAGUCUUGAAAACUAGCGAGGAUGAGAGUCCUUCGUGAGUUCGAAUCUCACCGCUUCCGCCA
RNAcentral lists this transfer RNA (90 nucleotides) under Gallionellales bacterium RIFOXYB12_FULL_54_9. RNAcentral describes it as "tRNA-Ser". It matches the Rfam family "tRNA". From Rfam's summary of the family: Transfer RNA (tRNA) molecules are approximately 80 nucleotides in length. Their secondary structure includes four short double-helical elements and three loops (D, anti-codon, and T loops). The record is from RNAcentral. Lineage: Bacteria; Pseudomonadati; Pseudomonadota; Betaproteobacteria; Nitrosomonadales. RNAcentral also lists the same sequence under 2 other names.